AGUGAACGCUGGCGGUAGGCCUAACACAUGCAAGUCGAACGGCAGCACAGUAAGAGCUUGCUCUUACGGGUGGCGAGUGGCGGACGGGUGAGGAAUACAUCGGAAUCUACUUUUUCGUGGGGGAUAACGUGGGGAAACUACCGCUAAUCCGCAAUACACCCAACGGCUAAGAGCAGGGGUUCUUGGCACUUUUCCCGUUUCAUUAGGCGAUGUCGGAUUAGCUAGUUGGAGGGGUUAAGGCCCACCAAGGCCACGAACCGUAGCUGGUCUGAGAGGAUGAUCAGCCACACUGGAACUGAGACACGGUCCAGACUCCUACGGGAGGCAGCAGUGGGGAAUAUUGGACAAUGGGCGCAAGCCUGAUCCAGCCAUACCGCGUGGGUGAAGAAGGCCUUCGGGUUGUAAAGCCCUUUUGUUGGGAAAGAAAAGCAGCAGGUUAAUACCCCGCUGUUCUGACGGUACCCAAAGAAUAAGCACCGGCUAACUUCGUG
This 491-nucleotide ribosomal RNA is filed under the name uncultured bacterium. RNAcentral's name for it is "partial 16S ribosomal RNA". It matches the Rfam family "Bacterial small subunit ribosomal RNA", at positions 29 to 507 of the family's 1533-position model. The record is from RNAcentral.